Macaca mulatta (Rhesus monkey) is the source of this 814-nucleotide long non-coding RNA. RefSeq lists it as uncharacterized. NCBI's taxonomy places the organism in Eukaryota, Metazoa, Chordata, Mammalia, Primates, Cercopithecidae. The record is from RefSeq and is a predicted model, not a curated record.
ACAGGCAGGGGGAUGGGGAGUAUUGGCUCUGAGUCUCCAUUCUAGCAGCAGUGACUGCCGUGUCACAGACAUGUGCCAAGCCCUUCCCAAGUUCCUGGGUGCUCACUGGUUUUUAUGCCCUUUACAUUUAUUGGACAGGAGCACCAUCCGCAGAACUUUCUGCCAUGAUGGAAACACUGUGUGUCUGCAGGAUAGCCACGUUCCACUACUGAGCAUUUGAAAUGUGCCUACUGCAACUGAGGAACUGAUUUUUAAUUUUUGUUUAAUAUGCAUAUGAAAUGUGCCUUUGAAUAGCCACACAAGCUGCCGCAUUAGACAGCACAAGAAUGGUGGGUGAAAGUUCAGGAUGUCUAGCCAGUCUGUCCAGGUUCAGAUCCUGUUUCUUCCAGUACCAGGCAAUGUGAGGUGGGCAGUCCCUUCUCUGUGCUUCACUUUCCUUAUCUGUAAUGUGAGGAAACAGCCCUUGGCUCUGGAAUCUGAACGGACUGGCCUCCUAACUGCUCUUUACUAGCUGUGUGGCCCUGGAACCUUCAUCUUUUGGAGCCUUGGUUUCCUUGCCUGUAAAAUGGACAACUUGUAGAGGAGGGAGCAAGAUCCCGAGAUUAAAAAUAAAUCCUCAUCGUCACUGUUGAAACCACACAAAGACAUGCGGAGAAAAAGCUGAUGUCUCUGCUCAGAUGUCCCUGACACCAAGAGGCCACCCUCCACCUUGUACAAGAACACGCACCCCCAACCCUCCUCUAUCCCGGGUUCAGCCAAUCCAGCUAAUUCUAGCUGCUGCUGCUUUUUGUAAAUAAAGUUUUAUUGGCACAGC